Molecule: ribosomal RNA, 253 nt
Filed under: uncultured bacterium
Lineage: Bacteria
Description: partial 16S ribosomal RNA
Rfam family: Bacterial small subunit ribosomal RNA
Source: RNAcentral
UACAGAGGGUGCAAGCGUUAAUCGGAAUUACUGGGCGUAAAGCGUGCGUAGGUGGUUUGUUAAGUCAGGUGUGAAAUCCUCGGGCUCAACCCGGGAACUGCGCUUGAUACUGAUAGACUCGAGUGUGGUAGAGGAUAGUGGAAUUCCCGGUGUAGCGGUGAAAUGCGUAGAUAUCGGGAGGAACAUCAGUGGCGAAGGCGGCUCUCUGGACCAUCACUGACGCUGAGGUGCGAAAGCGUGGGUAGCAAACAGG